RNAcentral lists this ribosomal RNA (495 nucleotides) under uncultured bacterium. RNAcentral describes it as "partial 16S ribosomal RNA". It matches the Rfam family "Bacterial small subunit ribosomal RNA", at positions 27 to 506 of the family's 1533-position model. The record is from RNAcentral.
GGACGAACGCUGGCGGCGUGCCUAAUACAUGCAAGUAGAACGCUGAAGGAGGAGCUUGCUCUUCUGGAUGAGUUGCGAACGGGUGAGUAACGCGUAGGUAACCUGCCUGGUAGCGGGGGAUAACUAUUGGAAACGAUAGCUAAUACCGCAUAACAGUAGAUGUUGCAUGACAUUUGCUUAAAAGGUGCAAUUGCAUCACUACCAGAUUGACCUGCGUUGUAUUAGCUAGUUGGUGGGGUAACGGCUCACCAAGGCGACGAUACAUAGCCGACCUGAGAGGGUGAUCGGCCACACUGGGACUGAGACACGGCCCAGACUCCUACGGGAGGCAGCAGUACGGAAUCUUCGGCAAUGGACGGAAGUCUGACCGAGCAACGCCGCGUGAGUGAAGAAGGUUUUCGGAUCGUAAAGCUCUGUUGUAAGAGAAGAACGAGUGUGAGAGUGGAAAGUUCACACUGUGACGGUAUCUUACCAGAAAGGGACGGCUAACUACGU